AUAGAGAAUAUGGAUCCUAGAUAUUUCUAAUCAAUCAUUUUUUAUUUUGGGGAGGAACAAAAGUAUUUCAUUGCUACAAAUAUGGAUUAUUAAAAAAAUAAGACAUGUAUUUGGAUAUUUCCCUGCAACUUAAGACUUAACAAAAUUAGCGUCUUAUUUUUUUAUUUGACAUACACGAAUAGUUGAGAGGGAUUCUCCGAAGAAAAAACGGAUUAUGGGAGUGUGUGACUUGAACUACAGCCUGGCAAAUAGACAUCCAUAGGAAUUAGCUUAUCAACUCCCCGAACAGUACUAUAAGAAUCGGUACUGAACAUACCCCCUGUAAUUGUACAGGCUCCCAUAGCAAUAACAUAUUUUGGUUCGGGCAUUUGCUCAUAUAAUCUAACUAAAGAAGGAGCCAUUUUCAUAGUUACUGUGCCCGCUGUUAAAAUAAGGUCUGCCUGCCUAGGACUAGAUCGCGGUACCAGUCCAUAACGAUCAAAGUCGAAUCGUGAUCCUAUUAAUGAAGCAAAUUCAAUGAAGCAACAACUGGUACCAUAGAGAAGCGGCCAUAAACUGGAUAGUCUUGACCAAUUUGAAAGAUCAUUUAAUGUAGUUGAAAUAACUGAAUUUUGGGUUGUUCGAUCAAGUAAGGGAAACUCAAUGGAAUUCAUAACUGUCUAAAUAUUUUUUUUUAUCUAAAUAUUCAAGAAUUAAGACCAUUCUAAUGCCCCUUUUCGCCAUGCAUAAACUGAACCAACAAUUAGGAUAAGCACAAAAAUUAAGUUCAUGGAUUCAAUUUAACCUAGGUAUCCAUAGAGCAAUAAAUGAUUUUUAUAUCUGAAACUCAUUAGAAAAGAAGGGAAAUCUACGAGAAAAAAAAAAUCAUUAUAUAAAUGAGAAAAGCCUCCAAGGUCCCAUCCCCAAAAUGCUAGGAGGUGUUUGGAAAUGGUUGAAGUAGUUGAAUAGGAGGAUCACUAUGACUAUAGCUCUUGGUAAAUUUACCAAAGAUGAAAAUGAUUUAUUUGAUAUUAUGGAUGACUGGUUACGGAGGGACCGUUUUGUUUUUGUGGGUUGGUCCGGUCUGUUGCUCUUUCCUUGCGCCUAUUUUGCUUGAUAACAAAGCAAAGUAAGUUGAUCAGUUAAUUAAAUAGAAAUAAUAAAAUAAUAAAUCGGAGUUAGUACUCUAGUUUGUACCAUCCAAACAAUUCAAUUGUUUAACGUACUCCGAAUGGGAUAAGAAAAUUCCGAAUACGUAUACGUAUUUAUUCCCUUUCUUCUAUUAAUUGAAGAAAUAAUUUGAAAAUAAAUCAGCAAGUACAAAAAUGAGUAAUAACCCCUAGUAGAGACUGGUACGAUUCAAUUCUACAUUUUGUUCGUUUGGGUUUGAUUGUGUCGUAGCUCUAUAAUUCAGAUUAGGUUUAUCGUUGGAUGAAUUGCAUUGCUGAUAUUGAUCCCAAAAAAGAAACAGUGGGUACUGCUAGUCCGUGAACAGCCAACCAUCGUACUGUAAAAAUUGGAUAGGUCCUAUCUAUCGCUCGUUGGAUCAAAUCGUUUUUGUUUACAUGUUUUGUAAUUAUAAGAAAGAAAUUCUUUUUUAUUUGCUUGGAAUGAUGAUUCAUAUCUAGAAAUAUAUGAGUCUUUCUUAUCUUUAAUGGAUUGAUAUGAAAAAAGAUCAUAUUCAUAUUGUGUGUUUUUUUUUAAUGAGCCUAAUUGUUGGUUUUUGUAAGGAAUUGAUCUAGUUUUUUCAUAUGAAUCACAUUUUUUUAAAUCUUUAUUUUGAAUGACAUGACGUCUUCUCCAUAUUACUAUAUCUCUAGAGUCAAUAAUUUUAUAUGAGGAACUACUGAACUCAAUCACUUGCUGCCGUUACUCUUCAGUUUUCUGUUGAGGUCUAUCCUGUGGAGGUACUCAAAUUGGAUCAGUGAUCGAUUUCUAGGUUUCGCCGUAAACCUAAUUAGUUGCUUCCAAUUACGUAAAUCAAUAGUUCAAACCGCACUCAAAGGUAGGGCAUUUCCCAUUUUAAUAGGAACUUCUGUACCAGAAACAAUAGUAUCUCCAAUUAUAGCCCCUCUGGGGUGUUAAAUAUAUCUUUUCUCACCAUCCCCAUAAUGUAUGAGACAGAUGUAUGCAUUUCGAUUAGGGUCGUAUUCUAUGGUUACGAUUCUACCAUAUAUGUCUUUUUCAUUCCGGCGAAAAUCGAUUUUACGGUAUAGAUGCUUAUGACCUCCCCCUCUAUGCCCUGCGGUAAUGAUUCCUCUGGCAUUAUGGCAAUCGCCUGAAUCUUAAGACGUUCUUCGAACCAAUCAUAGACUUCAUUGAGAUAGGUAAACCAAAGGAACUCCCCUUCUGAGAACCGUAUAUGAGAAUUUUAUCUCGUACGGCUCAAACAGAAAAACCCAAUACUGGUUGUAACAGAAACGGAUAUGUUAAAUAAUAAAAAAUUUUAAACUUCUUAAUUUAAUCCUAUUAUUCCAAAUCUUAUUUGAAGAUAAGAAAAAUAUAUAAAUCCUUAAAUUGAUCUGUGUAGGGUUAUAAUGCCAAAAUCUCAAGUCGGCGCACUCGUCUUUAUCUUGAUCUUUACAGGCCUCUUGAAUAUUCUAUUUACUUCAUUUUUUCUUUGAUUUUUUUGUAGAAUGCGACUUUUUUAGUAAACAAUUUCUACUUAGUCUAUUUAGUACUUAGUCUAUUUAUAAAGUAGAACAUUUUUAUUAGUCUUUUUUUUUAUUAAUGAAUAAUGAUAUCUUCUUUAUAUUGCUACCUCCGGGCCCAAAUAACUCAAUUUUCUACCAUGAACUAUUUGGGUCAUGGAUUGGUUCGAUCCAGAACUUAAGAUAAUGGGAUUUUUGGCGCAAUCGCCCGGGAAUUGAGACAGUUAAAUUUCACUAAAGGACGAGGAGGGAUUCGAACCUCCGACACUGUGGUUCGUAGCCACGUGCUCUAAUCCUCUAAGCUACAUGCCCAUCCCAUCUCCACUUCUUCCCCAUACUACGAGAGAAAGGGAAAAUGUGAAAACUACCAUUAAAGCAGCGAGGCGAACUGCUAGUUUUCGGAUACGAGAUAUCCAUCCUAGUCAUUAUGGACGCAUUUGUCCAAUUGAUACGUCUGAAGGAAUCAAUGUUGGUUCAAACAAAACAUACCUUGAAAAUGUUCAUCGUUCUCUAAACAUUUUAUUUAUAUUUUUUAUUUUGAAUUCAACCGGACUGGACCUGGUGACCCAAACACUGAUCUGAACCUAGUUGAAUAAUUUACCCAGGUCGAUUUUUUAAGUUUUGAUUUUGACCAAGUCAUAAUAAAAUCAGGUCAAACUUGACCAAAAUUGAUCAAACCCAAACCGGGUCUUCGGCCGAACUGGACAAUGAACACCCUUAAAUGAAAUUCAGAUUUCCAGCAAAAUAAUUUUUAUGACCACAUAUGCGGCUUAGUCAUUACAAAAGGUUCCAGUAUGAUUCAGCAUGUUAAAGAUACAAAAUCGAUCAUUAAGUCCAAUUAUCUCUAGUAGUGAAACAUUGCAACCUCAGUAUUGAAGGAUUCUAAACAUCAAGCAUGAAUUUAAGAAUUGAAGAAUUUCAAACACCAUAUUAUUUGAAACAAUGCAUAUGAACCCCAACUCAGGGACAUGCGUAUGCAACAAAAAUUACAAAAUCAGACUCACUAGACGCCUGCGUCAGUUUUUCAUUGUUUCCCUUCCCUUAAUACCAUGUCAACUUUCAUUUUCAAACAGCUAAAACCAUUCCCUAUCGAAAAAUCAGAAACUGGAUAGCUAGACUGAAGGGAAACAUAAACCUAGGCAGGAGGCGGCGCAUUGUGUGCUUCACUUGAGCUCUUUUUCGACUUGUGCUUUGAUUUCUUCUCUCGCUUCUUUCCCCUGUAAAGCAAUCCAAAAUUAUACAGCAUGAAAUAUCUCAAACACAUUUUGCAGUGAGGUUUAGAAGUAAAUGACUAGCUUGCAAUUCAACAUAAGGGUUAAGGAAGUACUCGUCAUGAGAGCUUUGACCCCAACAAGACUUCAGUUUCCUAUUGAUAUGCUUCAAUUCUUUAUCUGAAGGAAAUUUGUAUUUCAUAACCUGGAUAUUUAGAUGCAAGCAACAUUGGCUCCAUAUUCAAAUGACAAAUAUUCAACUUAGUGACAAAUAUUCAAAUGAGACACAAUACCAAAGAAUCAAUUGUGUUAAGUGCUUCAAUAAGCUCGGACAUUGUAUGUGUGGAGUUUUGACGAGAAAAUAAACUGCUCAGAUAACUGCAGUAGUAGAAAAGCGUAUAAACCAAUACAUUAAUUUUCAUCAAAGAAUACUACAAGAUAAUAUCCAAGACAAAUUCUGUCUCAGAAUCAAAUUUUGCAGAGAAAAAAUGUGAAGGGAUAAGGUACCUGUCAAAGUCAAUAACUUGAUGGAGUGCAACUGAACUGCGCAAAGCAGCUAAAGCCAACUGCAUUAAAAGACUCGAUCAUAUAGAUAUUAAGAUUGGAGGCAAAAAGGUUUAUAACUAAUUUGAACUAGAAGGUUGGAACUAGAUUGGCGAUAAACUGUAGAGGGUGUUUGGUUUGUUGCCUUGUUCUAUUUGUAGACAAAAUAUUUGAGAAACAUAGCAUUGUUUUCUGUUAACCAGUCUCUCCAAAACAUCAAUUAAUUUGAAUACAUCAGUAGCGUUUCAUAAAAUGAAAUUCAUUAAUUCGUGUCACAACACAGUAGAUACAAUUCGGAGUUCUGAAAGUUACAUAAUAUUGUUAGACUACCUGCGCAGGAGGAAAUAAAAGUGGUGCAUCUGUAAGCAUCAUUUUAUCAAUUUCCAAUCUAGCUGUGUCUUGUAAUCUCUACACAUCACGAGAAAAAGCAAGUUAUUUCGGAUUUUCAACAUCCUGGAAUUCACUCAAUAAAACAACAGUUAAACAGAUAAAACUGUAGCUCUGAAAAUCUGUCAUAGGAUUAUGGCGUAUGGUGUAGCGGGAAAUGGCUGAAAUGGUGGAUGGACUGAAAAUCUAUCAAUAUUAGCAACUUUCUACUCAUAAAGCAUCAAUUAAUUCAGCAAAUUCAACAAAUAAACACAAUAUUAAGUCACCAAAAACAUAAGAGAUGAUGAGUAGUGACCCUAUGUAAAUUGAAAUAAAGGAUAAAGAAUACAGGUUCAGAACUUCAAACUGAAUGGAAGAGAGGAACAAACCAGAAAAACCAAAAUAUUCAAAAAAAAAAGGAAAAGAAAAAAAGGAUAAGAUAAAGUAAUGUUUUUGUAAAGCUAGGGAAGGAAAAGUUGGAAAUGAAAACCACCUAGCGUGGAGGAGGAGGGCCAACUGCUGGCAGCAGCAAUGCUGCGGUGCGAGAUGCUGCAACGGCUUCUUCGUCGAGCAGCAGAUGGCGCCUCCAGCAGCAGAGAGAACAACGAAGAGGGAAAACAGAGGAGGAGGAGGAGGAGGAGCGCAGCACACAGCAGUAACGCUAUUGGCAGUUCUUCCAGAUGCGAAGAGGUAGGGAGUCCGACAGAGAGGGAAGAGAUUUUUGGGUUGGUGAGGGAACCAGAGGCUAAAAAGCUAGUGUCUGAGAAUUUGAGCUCUCUAACUUGGCUAUUAUGGUUUCCUAAAUGACCAAAAUAACCAUCAAAUGCAAAAAGAAAAAAUUACACCCAAGCCUCCCAUUUCCGCCAUUCACAUUGCGGACCACCAUAGCGUAAUGGCGGUGGCCCCAAAAUCCGCCACGUCAUUUCCCCAUGGCACCAUGAUAACCACAAUUUCAAAACACUGAUCACAAUGUAUUCUUGCAUGAGUAAAUGUAUAAAAUAAUGAUUUCCCCCUUAAGAAAAAAAGAAAAAAUAUGGAAAUCAUCUCAGACCAGUAUUUUGGAUAGUAGGAGUAGUACCUUCAACAUUUGAAGCUGGUCCUCGCUAGCAUUGCAAAAGUCCUUUCAUCAUUGCCAUUGAUCACAAAUUCCAGCAUAAAAUAAGAUCAGUAGUAAAAUCCAAUGAUAAUAGCAGACUAUAAAAAUCAUGCCAUUCAAUAUGAUGUAAAAAAAACAGACAAUUUAAUUUAAAAUUCCACUCAUUGACCAACCAAAGCAUACCUCCAUAUCAUCCAUAAAACCUUCAAGUGAACGAUAUGGUGCAUAAACAAUAAGAUCAAAUUCCAAACUCUACAAAACAAGUAUUUCAUAUCAUCAAAGAAUAAAAGUUAAGAUAAUAAUAAAAAGAUACAUAGAUUAGAUAUGUUAAGCCUAUCCAUGCCUGAUAAACUAUCAUCUCAUUAUUGAGAAUCAUUUGAUGAUCCUGUGAGAUCCCUUUACCAAGCUCCUCAGCAGAGACAUGGUUUUCUUCUAUCUUACAAGCAGCAUAUAUGCAGGUCAACCUAUAAAAAAUUCAGUCCAAGUUAUUGACAGGCUAACAUGUAAUAAAAACAUUUAACUAAAAAACAAAAUCAAAGAUUUAAAGCCAGGCAAUCAGCUCUAUCUUGAUAAUAACAUUGCUUGGUUUGGGUGGAGGCUGGUGUCAGAUGAAGGUGAGGGUGAAGAGAGAUGGUGAGGGAUGGAGAAGGUAUAACAAGAACAUAUAUUUUUUCCUCCCUCUUUUGGUGGUUGCUUCCAAGGACUUGAUUACAAAACUUUAGCGAUUCAAAAUCACGGACCUAAUUACAAAUAAACCACAGGAACCAACCAAAUAACUAAACCUUGAAAAACAAUUAAAAUUUACAAAUACAACCCUGGCUUGGAUGAACUGUAAUACAGCGAGCUGCACAAGUAAUCAAUCAAACAAUUACAACGAAAGUAGGAUUUUACGCACAAGUCCCCUAGAAUAAAAAAAAGAAAGGUUUUCGUUUGAAGCCUAAGACUUCUAAAUUCCCAAUAAACUGAAUGCAUGAAAAAUCUUAUAAGGCUUCCACCUUUUUUUUUUAAUCAUUUAGCAAAACUCUUAUAAAUAAUAUGUAACUGUUCAUCUUUAGUCCAAACUCCAAAGGUCAUCUUAUAGGAAUCUGAGCAGUCAAAAUUGGGCCUCUGCUGUACAGCGCCUGACGACAACAGGAUAUAGGUAUUAGGGAAAGGAAUUUCAACAAAAAAAAAAAACUGUGCAGAAGGAACUAGGAAACUUCAGGGACUCUAGGACACCCUCUGCUCUUGUAGAUCCAGAACACCAAUGAAUGCACACCGUUUUCUAGGUAUAUUACUCUAUUUCUUUGUACUCUGAACCAGUUAUCACCUAUAUAGACUGAGACAAAUCACAAACCUUACAUUAUAUGUUUUGGCUGAUGUUCCAUUACUGACCAGUGCAGGUAGAACCUUUUAAAAUAGAUAAGGGCCGUUGCCUACAUAUCAUAAUGUUUACAAAAUUAGUUCAUAAACACAGACUGUUUAUAAAAUCUGGAAACUGAAGAGGAGCUUGCAUACCUGGAUCUUAUGAGGGAAGUGGAAAUUUUUACAAACUUCUUGUAGCUUGUUUUCAUAAAACACUUUUAUAGAUUGUUCUUCUUCAAUACUAAGAGGUUUUGACCGAGAAUGCUUUUCAGCUGACAGAAAAUAAUACCCUUCUUAACAGUUAGAAAUUUUAAAUAAACUAUCACGAGCAACACAAAGCAUUUUCCAAAGCAAUUGAAAAUUAGAAGACAGAGCAUUAUCAACAUCCUAAGAAAGGAAUGAGUGAAUUCUCCUGAAAUCACAUUUACCAUUAUCCUUCGCAGAAUUCUGAGGUUCAGGAUAUGACAUUGUCCCAUCACUAUCUACUUCCAUCAGAGUUGCUCCACACUAUUAAGAAAAUUUAAUAGCCAUCAUUAACCAGAUAUAAACUUAAAACUGUUCAAUGAAACGUUAUUUAUGUAGGAAAUAAAAUAAAACAAAAAACAAUAAUCCCCGCAUGAUUAGACCACAAACAUCCAAAAAUGAAAAAUGUAAAGUAAAUAUAAACUUAAAAAUGUUCAAUGAAACGUUAUUUAUGUAGGAAAUAAAAUAAAACAAAAAGUAAUAAUCCCCACAUGAUUAGACCAAAAAUAUCCAAAAAUAAAAAAUGUAGCCCCCCUUGCUUUCUGAUUGAAAAUGUUGCAAAUUAAAAAUAUAUUUAUAAGAACAAAAAAA
Molecule: long non-coding RNA, 8024 nt
Filed under: Arachis ipaensis
Lineage: Eukaryota; Viridiplantae; Streptophyta; Magnoliopsida; Fabales; Fabaceae
Description: long non-coding RNA (AIPA_LNC002204)
Source: RNAcentral